Molecule: non-coding RNA, 216 nt
Organism: Pelobates cultripes (western spadefoot toad)
Lineage: Eukaryota; Metazoa; Chordata; Amphibia; Anura; Pelobatidae
Source: the annotation of a GenBank genome assembly
AGGGACAUUACCAAGAUGCUGAAAAUAACCUGGCAUGAGAAAUACUGUGCACACAUUUUUUGGUCUAAGAAGAGUAAACGAGACUGUUAAACAUUUCAGACAUGCGAUAUUACUAGAACAUAUUACAGGGUACCAGUUUGUCUGAACCUCUGCAACGGUAGUGUGUGGUGAAUUUCACGAUUCAAAUACGUGCUAGGCUAAAUGCUAAGUACCAAG